UACGUAGGGUGCAAGCGUUGUCCGGAAUUAUUGGGCGUAAAGAGCUCGUAGGCGGUUUGUCGCGUCUGCUGUGAAAACCCGGGGCUCAACCCCGGGCCUGCAGUCGAUACGGGCAGACUAGAGUGUGGUAGGGGAGACUGGAAUUCCUGGUGUAGCGGUGAAAUGCGCAGAUAUCAGGAGGAACACCGGUGGCGAAGGCGGGUCUCUGGGCAGUAACUGACGCUGAGGAGCGAAAGCGUGGGGAGCGAACAGG
This 253-nucleotide ribosomal RNA is filed under the name uncultured bacterium. RNAcentral's name for it is "partial 16S ribosomal RNA". It matches the Rfam family "Bacterial small subunit ribosomal RNA", at positions 524 to 776 of the family's 1533-position model. The record is from RNAcentral.